AAGUCGUAACAAGGUUUCCGUAGGUGAACCUGCGGAAGGAUCAUUACAACACCCUUUUUUUCUUUUGUUGUUGUUAUUUUUUUUUUAAAAAUAAUAAUAAUAAUUGUAAACCCACUUUGUUGAACCUUUAUCUUAUUUUGUUAUGAAUUAUUUUUGUUAUGAAUGGGAUUUUCUUUUUUUUUCUACAAAAAAAGAGAAGAUUUCCAUUUUCAUAUCCAAUCUUAUCUUUAUCUUAUAUUAUCUCUUUUUUUCUUCUUUUUUUUGGAUCUUCAACUUUUGUUUUGAAGUAAACAAAAAAUAAUAAAGAAAACUUAUAGAUAAUUCUGUUAAAAAACAAAACAAAAAACUAUUAUAAAUCCAAUUUAUUUUGGAAUUAUAAUAAAUAAUAAUAUAAUAUGAGAGUACAACUCUUAACAAUGGAUAUCUAGGCUCUCGU
RNAcentral lists this unclassified non-coding RNA (436 nucleotides) under fungal sp. RNAcentral describes it as "partial internal transcribed spacer region". The stretch from base 1 to 46 matches the Rfam family "Eukaryotic small subunit ribosomal RNA", at positions 1786 to 1831 of the family's 1831-position model. Lineage: Eukaryota; Fungi. The record is from RNAcentral.